Podarcis lilfordi (Lilford's wall lizard) is the source of this 78-nucleotide non-coding RNA. NCBI's taxonomy places the organism in Eukaryota, Metazoa, Chordata, Lepidosauria, Squamata, Lacertidae. The record is from the annotation of a GenBank genome assembly.
GCUUGAACCCCAUAGCUCAGUUGGUAAAACAUGAGACUCUUCAUCUCAGGGUUGUGGGUUUGAGCCCCAUGCUGAGCA